RNAcentral lists this unclassified non-coding RNA (915 nucleotides) under Hevea brasiliensis (rubber tree). The record is from RNAcentral. Lineage: Eukaryota; Viridiplantae; Streptophyta; Magnoliopsida; Malpighiales; Euphorbiaceae.
UUCCUUGUUUCACUAACCCUCCCACCAUAAGUACCCACCACCCAUGCUAUCUCCUUCCAGCCUUCAAAUUCUUUCUGUAUAUAUCACAUAUAUACACGUACAAGAUCCUCUUCUACCAGCCUGCCACUCUCUCUCUAAAACAAGUAGGGAGCCACCCUAAUCAAUUGUACAUCUCUUCUAUUUUUUUUCCCCCUUUGUCCUUUUUUUCCCUUUUCCCUGUGAAUCAAAGAGGGUAUACAAGAACAGGCUGGCCUACAAGAAAAUGAAAAAAAAAAAAAAAAAAAGCGCCAAAGAUACAAAAAGUAAUGGGAGGAAGAACAUGGAACCAGAGAGUAAUGAGGAAUGAAUGAAUAAAUUAAAACGGCUAAAGGAGAACUAAACUAUCUCUCUGGGUUCCUCUGGCAAUGGCCUCUAAUGGAUUAUUAUGUAGCUCUGGUUUAUGUGACAGGUAUCUGGUAAAUCCUUACACGGUGAGAGGAAAGACUGGUGGGCAGUAAAUAGUUCCCAUCAAAUAGGGCUUUAGCUUACCAAGAAGAAAAUGUGAGACUGAGAAUAGCGGUACACAUGGAGCCAUGAGUUUUAAAAGCUGUAAUGCCUCACCGAGUGUUCUAACAUAUUAUGACUUGGACAAACAAUCUCCUUCACUCGACUACCAUUCUUGUAUAUCUUGAAUGUUGGUACGAUCCUCACAUUUUCAGCAUUUGCAACUGCUGGGUUGUUUUCAAUAUCCACCUUGAGAAAAUUUAUGGAUGGAUAGCGGCCACAUAGUGUAUCCACAAAUGGAGAUAUUUGUUUGCAGUGCAAAUUAGAGGAUGAUUUGAAAUGAACUACCGACACACCAGGCAAAGAUAUUGCAGCUCUGAACUGCUCAAAUCCCAAUACUUCUUCCACUUCACCACCAAACUUCAUAUUAUA